CCUACGGGCGGCAGCAGUGGGGGAUAUUGCACAAUGGGGGGAACCCUGAUGCAGCGACGCCGCGUGGGUGAAGAAGCGCCUCGGCGCGUAAAGCCCUGUCAGCAGGGAAGAAAAUGACGGUACCUGAAGAAGAAGCCCCGGCUAACUACGUGCCAGCAGCCGCGGUAAUACGUAGGGGGCAAGCGUUAUCCGGAUUUACUGGGUGUAAAGGGGGCGCAGACGGCGAUGCAAGCCAGGAGUGAAAGCCCGGGGCCCAACCCCGGGACUGCUCUUGGAACUGCGUGGCUGGAGUGCAGGAGGGGCAGGCGGAAUUCCUGGUGUAGCGGUGGAAUGCGUAGAUAUCAGGAGGAACACCGGUGGCGAAGGCGGCCUGCUGGACUGCAACUGACGUUGAGGCCCGAAAGCGUGGGGAGCAAACAGGAUUAGAUACCCGAGUAGUC
Molecule: ribosomal RNA, 440 nt
Filed under: uncultured bacterium
Lineage: Bacteria
Description: partial 16S ribosomal RNA
Rfam family: Bacterial small subunit ribosomal RNA
Source: RNAcentral